UCAGUAAAGACAUGGAGCACUGGCAGAGGAACCUACUAGGGAUUCUAACUUUAUCUUUUGAAUGCAGAGGUGAAGACACUGUCACCCAGUCAAAAGGAGUUCUGACUGCUACUGAGGGAGAGACAGUUACACUUGACUGUAAUUUUGACACAACUAGUUCAAAUCCCUAUCUAUUCUGGUACAAGAUGGAGUUGAAGGACCUUCCGAGAUAUAUGUUAAGACGGGACAAGCACUCAAAUGGAGACAAUUUCAAAGCAUUUCCAAAAGAAAGAUUUGAUGCUCACCUUAAUGAAAGAUCAGUUCCUUUGAGGAUCCAGAGUGUGCAGCUGUCUGACUCUGCUAUCUACUACUGUGGUCUGAGGUCCACAACAGAGAAUCUGUCUCACAUCUCACUGAGCUGCUGCUUUGAAACAAGCAGUACUCAUGUUCUGCUUUUCUGGUUCAGACACUAUCUUAACAAAGCACAUCAGUUCAUACUGUAUAAAGGAGCCAGAUCCAAGAGUGGUACUGACCACAUCCCUAGUAAACAUUAUCAAUCCACAAUAUCCACAACACAUGAAAAACAAAAAACUUAUCAUAAAACAAGGGGCUCUGUCAGAUACAGCACUCAACUACUGCGCUCUUGA
Osmerus eperlanus (European smelt) is the source of this 626-nucleotide non-coding RNA. The record is from the annotation of a RefSeq genome assembly. NCBI's taxonomy places the organism in Eukaryota, Metazoa, Chordata, Actinopteri, Osmeriformes, Osmeridae.